CUCCUACACCAGCCACCGUGUAGUGUAGUGGUAGUGGAUGGCGUAGUGUAGUGUGGUGUAGUAUGGUAAAAUCCCGAUUACACUUGCCUGGUCUCCCAUAUAGUGUAGUGUAUGGCGUAGUGUAGUGUAGCAUAGUGUAGUGAAACCGGGUUUUUUUUUUAAUUUUAUGACUCCUGAUAUAGUGUAGUGUAUGGUGUAGUGUAGUAUAGUAUAGUAUAGUGAAAACGGGUCUUUCUACAAAUGUGUCCUUCCCCUGAUCAGCAGUAGCAGUCCCCAAAUCCUACAAGUGACGUUCCCUUCUAGAACUUGCCGGAAUAUUUUUUUCCCUACGUCACGACUACAACAACAUGUAUGAGCUAAUCAGGAACAUUUCGGAAUCGAUGGGGACGAUAGCUUAUCACUUUGGCGUACAAAUUAAUCAGGGACCAUUGUCGGAAGAAAACCCUGAGCCGGCUGCGUUGGCUGAACAUUUUGAGAUAGUGGAAAAAAGGGGAACGUGUGUUUGAAGAAGGUGAAUGUAUGGAUGAAGAAUGUGAACAUUUGGAUGAAGAAAUAGAACGUUUGGAUGAAGAAGGUGGGGAUGAAAUUGCCGGCAACUUGAUCUAUGCAGACGCUAAUAAUAUUCAAGAAAGGCAGUUCCCAUUAAAGAAAUUAGAGAGUUUGACAUUAUUGGAAGUUCAGCUGCAGGGACAAAACCAUUCAAAGGAGAAUUUGCCGACCGGAUUACGAUCCCUUGAUGAUAGGCUGGGCAAUUGAUGAUUCCUGGACGUUGCCUAUUAUCAACAGACCGAGAUCCAGCCGGCUGUGGAUCAAACAUAUAUGCCAGGACAUUUCAAUUGCCAUAACGACCCAUGCAACGCUUUAACAUUCUCGAGACGGAAUUUACAUCAGAAGACCAAGAAAUUUUCAUCAUCGGUCUUCUGGAAUACAUCUUUAAACACCGGCUGGUGAAGAUGAUAAUUUUUUCUCGAAACGUGAGAAGCCCAAAACAUCCCAUCUUAUUGUCGCCGUUGUACGACGUAAUCAAAAGAGCAGCAAUGUUGAAAUUCGGGAACAACCAAUUUGUGGACAAAGCCAUCAGAAAAUGGAUAAAGCUCCAACCCUAAGUCAGAAGGGUGAAAGAAGAGACGCAACUGAGGGAGGCCAUCCAAAUAAUGUAACAUGUAAAAAAAAAUUCUUGCCUCUACAUGGAAAUGUCCCCUUUCCCUUCGCUCCUAAGUUUCGCCCCGUUUCCUUAACCUGUGGUGUUACUUCAUGAUUUAAACUUGAAAAUCUUCCACUGAUACGCGACGUAUAAAUAAACUAAGAAAU
This is a long non-coding RNA of Daphnia pulex (common water flea), 1311 nucleotides long. RefSeq lists it as uncharacterized. The transcript is spliced from 6 exons. The record is from RefSeq and is a predicted model, not a curated record. NCBI's taxonomy places the organism in Eukaryota, Metazoa, Arthropoda, Branchiopoda, Diplostraca, Daphniidae.